Molecule: long non-coding RNA, 1645 nt
Organism: Homo sapiens (human)
Lineage: Eukaryota; Metazoa; Chordata; Mammalia; Primates; Hominidae
Gene: MIR646HG
Product: MIR646 host gene
Source: Ensembl
GCCGUAUCCUGCCGCCCGUUUUACCCGCGGGAAAGCCGAGGCCCGGUGCUGUAUUCUGCCGCCCAUUUUACCCGCGGGGAAGCUGAGGCCCAGUGCUGUUUAAUAUCUUACUCAUGUUCACUUGAUGAGAAAGUGACAGAUCUGAGACAAACCCAGUUCUAGAGGUUAUGACACCAGCCAUGGAAGAGCAGAGAGGCCAAUGAGGUGGGGAGGUUGGAAACAAAAGGCCUUCUCCACCCCAGCUUGACCAACCCAAAAGCUGGAAGGCAAGGAAGACCUAGAUGGUGUGCUGCAUUCCCAUGGUUUUGGAUCCUGCAACCACUCUUGUUCCACGCAGAGGCCAGCCUGUGGGUUAGAGAGAUGCACAGAGAGGGACAAAGCCCGGAACAAUCACAGAGAAUCAAAGCACUCUGGUUAUACCUUGCCUUCCCUAAGCUGCUGAUGAAUUAGCAGAUCAAAUUCCAGAAAUAAUUCAACCUUCCACUGUUUUUUUUUUUUCACGCACGUGUCCCUUUGCCAGGCAGCCUUGCUGUAGUGCCUCUGUUUAAUAUUCCAUUUGUAAGAUGGGCAGCUCCAAGUCUAUGCUCACUCAGCUGCUCAUCAAGAAUAACAAGGUAAAUGACAAAGGAGGUAAGAAUGUCCUCGUCAAAUGUCCUAUGCUGUCACCUGCCAGAAAGCCCUCGGCAGUCAGUGUCCAAGAUGGCUCCCCACGCAGGAAUCUCUCUGAAGUGCUCUGUGAUCUCCACAACUAAAACAUAAUUUCUGGCUCCAGAGAGCUCUGGGGCUCUGUUCCCUUGUUCAGCCCGUGCUCCUGGUCAUCGUCAGCCCCAGGACUGAGGCUUGGACUGGCUCAGGGGCUGCUGUCUGUGAAAAUCAGAUUGAUGCAUCUGAUUACAUGGCCUGUUAACAUCUGCAAAAAAUAAGAUAAAAUAAGAAUUAUUUACCUGUCACAGCUUUGACACACCAUCACAAACUGGAGCUGACACCUCUUCUGUUCACCUUGGAGAGGUGCAGAGUGAAGAGCAGACCGUGACACACUUAAUAGAUUGCUGGGCAUUUACGGAGCUGCUUGUUACCCAGCUCAAGAGCCAUGUCCAACUGCUACAGCGUUCAUCAAAGACAAGAAGCCACAAGGAGCAAGUCAGUACUGCAAUUCAUUAAGGCAACUUGACCUCUGGGGAGAGGAGAAGAAAAAGGAACUAGCAGCAUUGAUUGCCUAUGUUUCCUGAAGUGUGGUGUCAUGGCAUAAAAUGACAUUGAAUCACAGGAUCGACAGAAAAGAAAUGAGUCAACGAUGGUGCAGAAAGGGACCAGCUUGACGAAGCUUCUGCUUUUGUGACUGUCUCCUAAUGAAACCAGAGCACCUCAGAAGAUCAAGGCUUCCAAAUUCUCCUGGGGGAACAGACGUCAGCCAUUCAGCACAAAGGAAACUUCCUUCUCUGUAUGUCAGAGGAAGACAUAAUUGUGCCAUUUCCUUCUUGAAGAAGUUUACAAACAUUUGCAAGUUGUCAAAAAUAAUUAGUCUAAAAUUGUUUCAUAAACCGUGGAAUGAAACAGGACGUGCCUUGUUGAGAUCAAAGGGCUUCUGUUACCUUCUUGUAAACUCAAAUGAAAUUCUUUUGAAAGUAAACUCUUGGAAUUAGCA